UAGAGUUUGAUCCUGGCUCAGAUUGAACGCUGGCGGCAGGCCUAACACAUGCAAGUCGAACGGUAGCACAGAGAGCUUGCUCUCGGGUGACGAGUGGCGGACGGGUGAGUAAUGUCUGGGAAACUGCCUGAUGGAGGGGGAUAACUACUGGAAACGGUAGCUAAUACCGCAUAACGUCGCAAGACCAAAGAGGGGGACCUUCGGGCCUCUUGCCAUCAGAUGUGCCCAGAUGGGAUUAGCUAGUAGGUGGGGUAACGGCUCACCUAGGCGACGAUCCCUAGCUGGUCUGAGAGGAUGACCAGCCACACUGGAACUGAGACACGGUCCAGACUCCUACGGGAGGCAGCAGUGGGGAAUAUUGCACAAUGGGCGCAAGCCUGAUGCAGCCAUGCCGCGUGUAUGAAGAAGGCCUUCGGGUUGUAAAGUACUUUCAGCGGGGAGGAAGGUGUUGUGGCUAAUAACCGCAGCAAUUGACGUUACCCGCAGAAGAAGCACCGGCUAACUCCGUGCCAGCAGCCGCGGUAAUACGGAGGGUGCAAGCGUUAAUCGGAAUUACUGGGCGUAAAGCGCACGCAGGCGGUCUGUCAAGUCGGAUGUGAAAUCCCCGGGCUCAACCUGGGAACUGCAUUCGAAACUGGCAGGCUAGAGUCUUGUAGAGGGGGGUAGAAUUCCAGGUGUAGCGGUGAAAUGCGUAGAGAUCUGGAGGAAUACCGGUGGCGAAGGCGGCCCCCUGGACAAAGACUGACGCUCAGGUGCGAAAGCGUGGGGAGCAAACAGGAUUAGAUACCCUGGUAGUCCACGCCGUAAACGAUGUCGACUUGGAGGUUGUGCCCUUGAGGCGUGGCUUCCGGAGCUAACGCGUUAAGUCGACCGCCUGGGGAGUACGGCCGCAAGGUUAAAACUCAAAUGAAUUGACGGGGGCCCGCACAAGCGGUGGAGCAUGUGGUUUAAUUCGAUGCAACGCGAAGAACCUUACCUACUCUUGACAUCCAGAGAACUUUCCAGAGAUGGAUUGGUGCCUUCGGGAACUCUGAGACAGGUGCUGCAUGGCUGUCGUCAGCUCGUGUUGUGAAAUGUUGGGUUAAGUCCCGCAACGAGCGCAACCCUUAUCCUUUGUUGCCAGCGGUCCGGCCGGGAACUCAAAGGAGACUGCCAGUGAUAAACUGGAGGAAGGUGGGGAUGACGUCAAGUCAUCAUGGCCCUUACGAGUAGGGCUACACACGUGCUACAAUGGCGCAUACAAAGAGAAGCAAACUCGCGAGAGCAAGCGGACCUCAUAAAGUGCGUCGUAGUCCGGAUUGGAGUCUGCAACUCGACUCCAUGAAGUCGGAAUCGCUAGUAAUCGUAGAUCAGAAUGCUACGGUGAAUACGUUCCCGGGCCUUGUACACACCGCCCGUCACACCAUGGGAGUGGGUUGCAAAAGAAGUAGGUAGCUUAACCUUCGGGAGGGCGCUUACCACUUUGUGAUUCAUGACUGGGGUGAAGUCGUAACAAGGUAACC
This 1502-nucleotide ribosomal RNA is filed under the name uncultured bacterium. RNAcentral describes it as "16S ribosomal RNA". It matches the Rfam family "Bacterial small subunit ribosomal RNA". The record is from RNAcentral.